UUGAAAAAUGCUGGUUGCUGGUAACUAUUGAUCCUUUACCAUCUUAACACCUUUGACUAGAGUUGGCUCCCCUUGUAAAGGGCUUCCUGUUAGGGCAUAGGCCACGCCCAGCGCAGUGAGAACCUAUUCAGUGGAUUGCUGGUUCUGGGGAGGAGAUGGAGAUAUAAGGACCCCAGGGCCAAUCUGAUUCCACCUAUAAGGACAUGUGAAAUUAGGAGUUACAGUAGCUCUCAGUUGUAAUGACAACUGAGAUGGGAAGAUUCCAGCCAAUGAAAGGCGCCUACUUGGAGAAGGUAUUCUCUGCACAAAGACUCAAGUGACAUGACCCAGAUGUUUAACGUGGCAAUGAGCUCAGCUGGAAGAUUUGGCAGCCACGUUGGUAGCUUGAAGCACCCAACCAGGACUGUGUGAAACAGAUAUUUUGGGGCGAAUCUUCUGAGAGGACUCUGUAAGUAGGAACUGACUGCGUCCACACCCGUUGUCUUUACUUCCUGGGACAGAAAGCUGAAUGGAGUAGCUACAACUCUAGCUGCCGUACUGUGCCAUGAAAUUGCCCUGAAGUAGGAAGUCCUCUAUGAAGGAUGGAGGAAGAAGAGACAAAAGCACCUGGGAACCUUGGUGACACUCUAAAUCCCAGACCAGAUGGACACAAGCCCUCCCUGGGGAAGGGAGCAAGUUUUGCCUCAUCCUUUGACAUCCCAGAAGUCCCAGGGCUUCCACUGUUGAACCACCGCCCUCUUUUCCUCAUUUGCUGGCAUGGCCACCGCUGGCAUGGCCACCACAGACCUAGGGAUCUUGGGAAGACUUUACAGAGUGCGAAGCUGUGUCUGUUUUGUCGUUAAGAGAAAUAAACUGAGAGGUAAAGGUGAGUUUAAGUGACCAAAUACAAUCUGUGAGCUAAAGCAUAAAAGGAAUCAAAGCCUUGUGCACUGUGGCGUUACAUAUGCACUGGACUUAAACAAAAAGCAAAAAAACUUUCUAUCCUCUCACAUCUUUUGAGAAAUCCAAAGGCUUGGUAGACCUCAGGUAGGGCUGGAGAUAGUUCCUGGACAGAUCAACAAAGAUCCAGUGUGUGUG
Apodemus sylvaticus (European woodmouse) is the source of this 1077-nucleotide long non-coding RNA. RefSeq lists it as uncharacterized. The record is from RefSeq and is a predicted model, not a curated record. The transcript is spliced from 3 exons. NCBI's taxonomy places the organism in Eukaryota, Metazoa, Chordata, Mammalia, Rodentia, Muridae.